Molecule: transfer RNA, 84 nt
Filed under: Felis catus (domestic cat)
Lineage: Eukaryota; Metazoa; Chordata; Mammalia; Carnivora; Felidae
Rfam family: tRNA
About the family: Transfer RNA (tRNA) molecules are approximately 80 nucleotides in length.
Source: Rfam by way of RNAcentral
GCCUGGGUGGCUCAGUUGGUUGAGCGUCUGACUUUGGCUCAGGACAUAUCUCCUGGUUUGUGAGUUCGAGCCCCGUGUCAGGCU